Molecule: long non-coding RNA, 583 nt
Filed under: Equus caballus (horse)
Lineage: Eukaryota; Metazoa; Chordata; Mammalia; Perissodactyla; Equidae
Description: lncRNA (ENSECAG00000040509.3)
Source: RNAcentral
CUCAUACGACGGCUGACUUUCAGGAGGGCAACGCUGGCCCAGCCCGCAGGCUGGCGUGGCGGCACAGCGUGGCUCUUCAGCAGACCCCGGAAGUCACAGCCUCACAGUCAUCUAGCUGAGAGAAGAGGAAGACAAGUUGAUCCAGAACCGGCUGGAGGCAGGAGGGAGAGCAGACCCUGCCGCCCCAGGGAGCCAGGAGCACCCGAGCCACUCCCGGGCAGUGAUGCCCGGAGCAGUGUGAAGCCUGUCUGGGGCUCCCUGAACCUGACCCUGGCCCCACAGUCAGCACGAGGACACACGUGGCCGUACGUGUGGUCUAGGGUUCGAGCCAUGAAUGCUGAUGGGCCCAGGCCCUGCGGCUGCGUCCUCCAUUGGGCUGAGCUGUGUGGUCAAGCGCUGUGGCAGGGGUCCACUCAUGGGGGGACAGCGAGGAGGCCCGUGCAGCUGGGGGUCCGUGUCGUGGACCAGGCGUGAGCGCAGUGAGGCAGGACCAUCACAGCUUUCCUCUGCGGUUCUGCACAUGCUGGGAUCCGAAUGUGCACGAGGCUUCUGAGAGGCAGCGCAUCACCUCCAUGAGAAAGGC